UACGUAGGGUGCCAGCGUUAAUCGGAAUUACUGGGCGUAAAGCGUGCGCAGGCGGUUUUGUAAGUCUGACGUGAAAUCCCCGGGCUCAACCUGGGAAUUGCGAUGGAGACUGCAAGGCUAGAAUCUGGCAGAGGGGGGUAGAAUUCCACGUGUAGCAGUGAAAUGCGUAGAGAUGUGGAGGAACACCGAUGGCGAAGGCAGCCCCCUGGGUCAAGAUUGACGCUCAUGCACGAAAGCGUGGGGAGCAAACAGG
This 253-nucleotide ribosomal RNA is filed under the name uncultured bacterium. RNAcentral describes it as "partial 16S ribosomal RNA". It matches the Rfam family "Bacterial small subunit ribosomal RNA", at positions 524 to 776 of the family's 1533-position model. The record is from RNAcentral.